RNAcentral lists this ribosomal RNA (245 nucleotides) under uncultured bacterium. RNAcentral's name for it is "partial small subunit ribosomal RNA". It matches the Rfam family "Bacterial small subunit ribosomal RNA", at positions 26 to 285 of the family's 1533-position model. The record is from RNAcentral.
AGAAUCAACGCUGGCGGCGUGCCUAACACAUGCAAGUCGAACGAGAAAGGGUAGCAAUACCUGAGUACAGUGGCGCACGGGUGAGUAACACGUGACUAACCUACCUUCGAGUGGGGGAUAACCUCGGGAAACCGAGGCUAAUACCGCAUAACAUCGUGAGAUCAAAGCAGUAAUGCGCUGGAAGAGGGGGUCGCGGCUGAUUAGCUAGUUGGCGGGGUAAUGGCCCACCAAGGCGAAGAUCGGUA